AGAGUUUGAUCCUGGCUCAGGAUAAACGCUGGCGGCGUGCCUAACACAUGCAAGUCGAACGUCCUCUCUUCGCAAGGAGAGAGGGAGUGGCGGACGGGUGAGUAGCACAUGGGAACCUACCUCUAGGUGAGGGAUACCGGCGAGAAAUCGCCGACAAGCCCGCAUAGCUUCGCCUCGCAAGAGGAGAAGAAAGCUCGACCUCGUAAGAGGGAGGGCGCCUGGGGAUGGGCCUGUGGCCGAUUAGCUGGCUGGUGGGGUAACGGCCUACCAGGGCGACGAUCGGUAGCUGGUCUGAGAGGACGAUCAGCCACACUGGGAUUGAGAACGGCCCAGACUCCUACGGGGGGCAGCAGUGAGGAAUUUUCGGCAAUGGGGGCAACCCUGACCGAGCAACGCCGCGUGCAGGAGGACGCUUUUCGGAGUGUAAACUGCUUUUCUGGGGGACGAGGACAAGGACGGUACCCCAGGAAGAAGCCCCGGCUAACUACGUGCCAGCAGCCGCGGUAAUACGUAGGGGGCGAGCGUUGUCCGGAGUUACUGGGCGUAAAGCGCCCGCAGGCGGGAGGCUGCGUUGGGGGUGACAGUCGGCGGCUUAACCGCCGAAGGACUCUCAAAACGAGUUUUCUUGAGGGCCUCAGAGGGACAUGGAAGUCCGGGUGGAGCGGUGAAAUGCGUAGAGAUCCGGAGGAACACCAAAGGCGAAGGCAGUGUCCUGGGAGGCGCCUGACGCUGAGGGGCGAAAGCCAUGGGAGCGAACGGGAUUAGAUACCCCGGUAGUCC
RNAcentral lists this ribosomal RNA (780 nucleotides) under uncultured bacterium. Its description in RNAcentral is "bacterial SSU rRNA". It matches the Rfam family "Bacterial small subunit ribosomal RNA", at positions 8 to 796 of the family's 1533-position model. The record is from RNAcentral.